UCUUAACGCACUGGACUAGCAGAGAGAGAAGACAAGCAGAGGAAUCCUUUAUCACAUUUUUUUUCACGCUUGUAAGUGGACAAAACUGCAAAGGAAAGACAGAUUCAUAAUUCACCAUGAUCAUCAGGUUGCUUCUCCUGGUGUUACUACCAGUAGUAUUGAACGCCCAAUCUGGGGGAAAACUCCAAAUCAACCUACACCUGCUAACCCUACUCCAACUAAACAUGCUCCAAAUAGACG
Long non-coding RNA from Boleophthalmus pectinirostris (great blue-spotted mudskipper), 240 nucleotides. RefSeq lists it as uncharacterized. NCBI's taxonomy places the organism in Eukaryota, Metazoa, Chordata, Actinopteri, Gobiiformes, Gobiidae. The record is from RefSeq and is a predicted model, not a curated record. The transcript has 3 exons.